UAGGGAAUCUUCGGCAAUGGACGGAAGUCUGACCGAGCAACGCCGCGUGAGUGAAGAAGGUUUUCGGAUCGUAAAGCUCUGUUGUUAGAGAAGAACGUUGGUAGGAGUGGAAAAUCUACCAAGUGACGGUAACUAACCAGAAAGGGACGGCUAACUACGUGCCAGCAGCCGCGGUAAUACGUAGGUCCCGAGCGUUGUCCGGAUUUAUUGGGCGUAAAGCGAGCGCUGGCGGUUCUUUAAGUUUGAAGUUAAAGGCAGUGGCUUAACCAUGGUACGCUUUGGAAACUGGAGGACUGGGGUGCAGAAGGGGAGAGAGGAAUUCCAUGUGUGGCGGUGAAAUGCGUAGAUAUAUGGAGGAACACCGGUGGCGAAGGCGGCUCUCUGGUCUGUAACUGACGCGGAGGCUCGAAAGCGUGGGGGGCAAACAGG
This 429-nucleotide ribosomal RNA is filed under the name Bacillota bacterium. Its description in RNAcentral is "Firmicutes bacterium partial 16S ribosomal RNA". It matches the Rfam family "Bacterial small subunit ribosomal RNA", at positions 355 to 776 of the family's 1533-position model. The record is from RNAcentral. Lineage: Bacteria; Bacillati; Bacillota.